UAAGGAAUAUUGCUCAAUGGGAGAAAUCCUGAAGCAGCAACGCCGCGUGGAGGAUGAAGGGUCUAUGACUUGUAAACUCCUGUAAAGAAGGAAAAAAUUCCCAUUUGAUGGGAGAUGAUGGUACUUCUGGAGUAAGCCCCGGCUAACUACGUGCCAGCAGCCGCGGUAAUACGUAGGGGGCAAGCGUUGUCCGGAUUUACUGGGUGUAAAGGGUGCUCAGGCGGAUUUGUAAGUCAGAGGUGAAAUCUUACAGCUUAACUGUGAAACUGCCUUUGAUACUGCAAGCCUAGAGUAUGGAAGAGAGUGAUGGAAUAGCUGGUGUAGCAGUGAAAUGCGUAGAUAUCAGAUAGAACACCAAUGGCGAAGGCAGUCACUUGGUCCAUUACUGACGCUAAAGCACGAAUGCGUGGGUAGCAAACA
This 420-nucleotide ribosomal RNA is filed under the name uncultured bacterium. RNAcentral's name for it is "bacterial SSU rRNA". It matches the Rfam family "Bacterial small subunit ribosomal RNA", at positions 355 to 774 of the family's 1533-position model. The record is from RNAcentral.